GUAUUCCAGGAGAGCGUGUGGUUGAUGGGAAAGUUUGGAGUCUUCAUCAUGCUGUUAGCAGGCAGCAGAUGUUUCAUUUCGAGGAUGUCUGUGAAAAGACAAGCAUCCUUGGCCAUGUGGACUGACUUGAUUUUAAAGUGAGGUUUGGGGCUGGUGGCAGGUGUCGUUAUAAGAGGGAGGCAGAGGAAGAUGACACAAAUAGGAGAAGAAAAUAUGAAUACAGAGGCAUAGAUUCGAGUGCUGUGGUCACAAGCCAAGGAAUGCCAGCGGCCACCAGCAGCUGGAAGAGCCAAGGAAUGAAGAGAGUACGGCCUUGCCAACACCUUGAUCUUGGCCCAGCCAUACUGAUUUUAGAUUUCUGGCCUCUAGAAUUGUGAACAAAUAAAUUUCUGUUGUUUUAAGUCA
Molecule: non-coding RNA, 405 nt
Organism: Homo sapiens (human)
Lineage: Eukaryota; Metazoa; Chordata; Mammalia; Primates; Hominidae
Source: RefSeq, a predicted model, not a curated record